GGCCUAUUUACUACGUAAAUCAAACACCAGAGCCACUACAGCAUGGUUAUUGUACCCAGGGCCGGAUUAACAUAGGGACUGAUGGAGCUGCAACUCCAGGCCCAUGCCUAUGGAAUUUGUUUUGGCUACUCUUCACAUGCUCUUGCUUAAGUAUGGAGACUUAAGAGGGAUGUAGGUGAACAAAACUGGUGCGGAGUGGCUGACAAUGAAGUUAGUUGAGUUAAAGCUGAGUUUGCGCACUACUUGCUCCCAGACUGCACAACAAGAGCUUCUGCCUGCUAGUAAGAAGGUUAGUAUAGGAAUGGACCAGCAGGUGCUAGGGAACAGUCCUUAGAAAGCAUAGAGCUAGUGCAUCAUUAAACGCAAUUAUGCCAAGCUAAGUAUGCUGUCUGCACAGUAUGCCCUUGGUUGGUCAUCUUGCAUGAUUGGAAGGGAGCCUGACGUGCAUUCACGCCAGGCUGUCCAUCUAAUUCCUCGUGCAGAUAUGCUUCUUUUUGGGCAUGUUUGUCCCUUUGUGCAGUUCUCGAAAGGUGAUUCACAUCAGUGGCACACCCUUUUAUCCCGCCCACCAAAAUCCUACUUCACUGGACACUGCUGCUAGGAGGUAUGGAUUUACUUGAAAGAUGAAAGGGAGAGAUUAGCAUAGGGUUUGUGUUUUCUGAUAGCUAUAUCCUGUGAGUUUCCCUCCAACACCACCUCCACUAGAUACAUGACGUUUGGGAGGUAUAACUGUUUUAGUGUUUUCUGUUGAUAAUAUUCUGUAAUUAGGCCCAUCGUAAUUGUCAGCACCAGGCCCAAUGGGCUUUUAAUCUGGCCCUGGCCUUAGGUUGACUCCCCUUACAUCUAAGGGGAGGCACCCUAAGGCGAUCUUCUUAUCAACAUCUUGGGAGUUCAACUUUAUUGGCGCAGUUUUAUUGUUCAUUUACAGCAUUACACUAUUGUAUUGUGGUUUUUU
Molecule: non-coding RNA, 955 nt
Organism: Pelobates cultripes (western spadefoot toad)
Lineage: Eukaryota; Metazoa; Chordata; Amphibia; Anura; Pelobatidae
Source: the annotation of a GenBank genome assembly